ACUAUCUGUGGUAGAAGCAGACAGCAUGAGGAACAUGAUUUGGAAAGAAGAGUUGUUUAAAAAAAAACCAAACAUCUGUAGCUUCUCACUUCAUUAGUCCACUUAUUUCCUUGAAGAUUGCACCAAUGUGGUGGGGAGCACACAACUGAAGAGGUUCCUGUGCUGGCUCCAGGCAGCAUACAGGAUCAGAUGGACACCAUCCUCCCUGGACCUCCCAGGCAGGUUGCAGGAGCCUGGGGAGUGGGACAAGGGCCCCAGCUAUCCCAGGUGAUGUGAGAGGGGGCAGAGGGCCAAAUUCUUACCCCCUUCGCAUGUCUUUUAAGUAGCUAGAACUAAAAUGAGCUUAAGGGCUGGGAUCAUUCUACUUUUGUGUGUUUGGAGGUAGGGGCUUGGCUGUAUUUCCCAGUUUUCCAAGACGUGUGAAGAUGGCAGAUAUAAUGCAAGGGACUGCAAAUGGAUCAUCCUUCAAAAAGAUGAGCAGACCAUGUCAAACAGUUUAUUUUCCACAACAUCCUUGACCCACAAGAGGCUGACUGUGCACCAACAAUGAACUAUUUCCAGCUCAUUUUGGAGCUCAGAAGAGACAGGAGUUUGUUUCCCACUGAUAGGAUGAUGAACGCCACGGAAAAUCCUGCUUGUUUCAGUCAGAACUUUAUCCUGGAGGCAGAGGGACCAUGCUACAGGAGGAACACCAUGAGGAUUACUGGUUUGUGGCCAUGCCCCGUCUUACCUCUCCUCUUUUCAGAAGAGAGGACACGAGAUCCUUAUGGAGGGCAAGGAAGCGGUGGCAAGAGGGACAGCUGACUUCAUGCAUCGUUACACUGAUUAUCAUCUGCCGUGUAGAGCAUGUCCACACCACAGCUGAAGAUGCAACUGCAGCAUGGAUGGACUCAUGCUGGUCUUUGUUUAGUGGCAAUAUAAUCACAGCAAUGCAACAUCAGCAGGUAGCUGCCUGAGACCUUGGGUGCUUAUUCUGGUCAUCAGCCAUGCUAAGCCUUUGCUGUUGGAGUUACAGAGCUGCUGGCAUCUGGUUGAAACUAAUCCCCAGACUUCUUUCUAUGCUGUGGUGAUGGGCAACCCCACAGGUGGGUAGUCAGACCCAAUGGUGGGUUGCAAGCUGCUUCUGGUACAGCAUGACCACACCUGGGUCCUGCUUGCAGCCCUCAUCUACCUGGGAAACAGGCAUAAAUUCUCCCUUAAAAAUACUGAGCAGUCAUGGUACAACCACAGGUUUCCUCGAUCAGCUCCUUGCGAUAAAGCCUUCCACCCUUCCUGAGAGCAAAGGUUCCAGCCAUUCCAUACUUCACCUCCUCCAGCUGUUUCCAGAGCUUCCCCUGGCGCAGUGUUCCAGCUGCCCUGUAGAAAACUGCUCAUCUGCUCCAGAGGAAGCGACACAACAAAAUUAAUAUCUUAGUAUGAUGAGAGACUACCAAGGAGCCUACACAAUCUGUGGCAUGCUUGGGAAGUAAACCCUGACUGCCUCAGGAAGAAAAGUCUGACCUACCAAGUGGUAGAGUGUCUUGUGUCCUUGGAGCUGGGACUUGGGAAUUUUGUGCCCUCUGGGAGGCAGCGAGUUCAUUUUCUCCAUGUGGGAGCCUGGGGGCAAACCAGCAUGCAAGUGGUAUGGACAAUCAGGGGCUCAGGUGUGAAACAGGGAGCGAACCGCAAUGAUAGUGUAGAUAUGUCCUAAAGAUGAUGCUUGAUAAUUUUGCAACAAAUUGUUGUAAGCAAUGAACAUGAAUCUUAAACUGUAAAUCAGCUUGUUUUCCAUUUAUUCAUAAGAAUUUUGCACUGUUUUCUGCUUGUUACAUUUCUAAUGUUAGCAUGUUGUCUCAUCUCAUUAGGUUGGCUCAUUUGGCACCUCUCUGAGAUGCCAAAAUACAGGGGAGGUUUUUGGAAAGUAUUUCGUCAGUAUUGUUACUGGAAAAGUUAUGACCAGCUCUAGCGUUUUAAUACGCUUGAAUGUGGAUAUCACUAACACUUGGACACAUCUAUAUCUCUUAUUCUUCCAUUAUAAAAACAAUGUUGACAGCUCCACUUUCUCUUAAAAGCUAUCAUCCAGCAACAAAUAAAUAAAUGCCCUCAAGAAAGUGUUGCCUUCAUCCACCCAGAAGACAGAAGUAUCAGGAUCUCCACUGAGUCUGCCAGAACUUGUCUGCAUACUACUGAAUAACAAAUGAGGUGGUUUAUGCCCUUUGGAAUAAGGACAUUCUAGGGCAGAUAAAGUGUGUUCACGCUGCUAUCAAACUCUUCCAAGGGACAGUGGUGAACACGAAAGCUUUGUUACGUGAAUAAGAAAAAGGUGAUUGGGAAUAGCCAACAUGGAUCUACCAAGGUUAGAUCCUCAGAUUAUGUAAGCUUUGCAGGACAUCUAGAGGUCUCUCAUUCUACCCCUGCCUAAAGCAGGUCCAGGUAAAGCAGGGCCUUGCCCAGUUGGGUUUUGAGUAUAUGCAGGGUGGAGAAUCCACAGCACCUCUGGCCAACUGCUCGAGUGUUUAUCCUCAUGGUAAGCUUAUUUUCCCUAAUAUUGAGUGGGAAUUUCUCCCACUUGACCAACAUGAUUGCUUUGUGUGAUAAGGGAAGAGCAGUGGUUAUUAUCUACCUUGACAUUAACUUUGCUUUAGACAUGAUCUUCUACAGCAUGUAUGUAUCUAAGCUGGUCCAUUUUGUUCUGGACAGAUGGAUAGGUAGAUGGGUGAAAAACUGGCUUGUUUGUUGAGCUUAAAGGGUUCAUAUUUUACAUGAAGGCCUUUACAAGCCUCUUGAAGUACAAGAGUUCUUCAGGGAUCUAUUCUGGCAGUUUAAUGUCUUUGUCAGUGGCACAAAAGAAGAGACAGUACGCACCCUUAUCAAUUUUGCAGCUGACACCAAACUGGGGUGAGCAACCAACACACUCCAGGGCAGGGCUGCCGCUCAGAGGGACCUGAGCAGCUGGAAGAAUGAGCCAAUAGGAACCUUACAAAAUCUGACAAGGAUAAAUUUGAAGUCCUGCAACUGGAGUGAAGUGACCCCUUGCAAGAGUACAGGCUGCUAGUGAGCUCUGCAGGAGAGGACACAGGGGUGCUGCUGAGCAGUAGGCUGAAUAUGAGCCAGCGGUGUGCUCUGGCAGCAGGGAAGGCCAAGAACCUGGUGCAGCCUGGGCUGUAUCAACAGGAUCAUGGCCACCAGAUGGAGAUAAGUGAUUAUCCCCCUCUAUGCAGGACUCACGAGAUCCACCUAGAGAGAAUACUGCAUCCAGAUUUCAGCACCGAUCGAUAACCUUGUUGCUAAGUCACCAAGAUGCUUGGGGUAUGGAGACCAACCCUGUCAGGAGAGGCUGAGGGACUAGAUUUUGUCCAGCCCUGGGAUGAGGUAUCUUCAGGGGAACCUAAAAGCAGCCUCUCAUUAUCUAUGAACCACCAAAGCUCUUCGUGGUGUUACAUGAUGAGAGGACAACAGAUGGUGGGCAUAAAUUGAAACAAGAGGUCUAAGUGGGUAUGAAGAUGAAAUUUUGCACAUGAGGACAAGCAGUGGAACAGGCUGUUGAGUGAGGUUGUGCAGUCACCAUCCUUGGAGGUCUUGAAGACCCUGACGGACAGUCUUGAGCAACUUUCUCUCAUAGCUAAAGCAUUUUGAGCAGACCUCCUGAUGUCCUUUCCAACCCAAACCGUUCUGUGAUUUCUUGUUAAAACUGGGAAGGGAGACUUUAUUACUUAAGUUGUUCACUAUCCAGAAGCCCUGGUCUUUUCCUAGUGCUAGUCAGUGCUGGCCAGAUGAGAUGAGGCAAGUAAAACUUUACAGCAAGAUAUGCUUACAUACCUGAGAGUCCCUCCCUUGGAUCUCCCCUUGGGAGCAGUGUCUGUUGCCAUUUCCCACUUUGCCCAGCUCAGGAGCAGGUGGAAUAAGCCCCAAGUGCUCCUGCCUCUCCCAGAAGAGCCAGGUUGUGGUUCCUCUUGUUCUCGUCUGUGUAAACAAACUGCAUUAGCUGCAAAAGUACAAGAAAGUGCACUACUAUAAACAGUAUCGCAGUUAAUAAUUAUUAUUUUAUUGCUUUCUUGCAGACAAAACUGGCAUUUUUUCAAGGAUGUGUCUAGAGUCUGCCCUGGAGGUGAGGCCAUACCUGUCAUGCAACUGGCAGGACUGGACUUCCUCUUAAUUUAAACUCAUACUACAUUUAACAGAGUAGUCUGGACAAGUGAAUUUUCUGCCUGUGUUGAAGGAAAUUACAUAUAUGGUGUGUCACAUAGUGUUCCACAUGGAGUGGUCUUCCAGUAUCUGUUCACAGUGUUUUAAAGACUGCCUGAGAAAAUUUAUUUCACUGAGACAUGUACAAGGAGGCAUUGUUACAGUAAGUUGAUCUUGUUUCUUACAAUGCCAUUUGGAGGUGAUUUCCCAGGAAUCCACACAGAAAAUAAAACCAAGGAGAACUGCAGGUCCCUCAGUACCGGCAUAAAAGCUCAGAGCUGUGCCAACCAAGUGAACUUGAAUUUAAUUGAUGUUAACCUCACUGGUUCUUUUGUUGCUAAUCAUGGAGAAGAUAAGCAUUUUUAUGGAAACAGCUGGCUGUGUCUUAAAGGGGUCUAAAUGAUCCUAACUGAAAAGUGGACCUGAACAACAAAAAAAAGGGGAAAUUAAGUGAUAAUUUUAUUCCCUACAUGUCUGAUUCAGACCUGCUUACAUAGAGAAGGUAUUGUAGAUACCUACAGACACAUCCAAAUCACAUGGAGAACUGGGAAGAAAACAUGAAUGCAAAGUAGUCUCUUUAGCAUUUCAUAUCUUAUUAGGGCUCUAGUCCUCUGGUCUCUUUGUUAGACUUCCAUAAUUACACAGAGCAGAGAUUGAGAAGGCGGAAAACUAAAUGCAAUUGAUUCUGCUAUUUGAACUACAAGGUUUGUGUAGGUGUUUGGGGGAAGGAAGCAAAGCAAACCAGCUCUUGAAUGCUGAGCAGCAACACUAGAGAAAUAGUUGAGGAGUAAGGAGGAGGAGAACAUUCCAUUGCAAGUCUGAGUGAAACUUAGGCAGCACUGGAAUUUGGUCUAGACAGGAGAACUCUUCCACAUUUACAUCGUAACAUUUUGAAAGCUGCAGUAAUCGCAGAUGUUUCAUGAUCCCCAGUGGCUGCCUCGUAAUAUUUUGGUCCUACUGGUGACAACUACUCAAGAUUUAAGUGAGUUAUAGUGAUGAUUGUGCUUUUGUAACAGAGGAGAAUACAGUUGUGAUAAAAGAGCUCCCAUUUCUGUUCAACAUGAACAGAAAUGGAGGGAGAAGAAAGGCUAAGUACAACUUCUCACUUCUGAAUUUGCCUUUGGAGAGCUAUGGAAUGUAUGUGAGAGGGGAGGCUGCCUUUUUUUUUGUUUUUUUCUUUCUCCCAUACUUGUACUGUAAAAUUCCCCAUUAAAUGAUGGGAAUAAAAAAGACUCUUAGCUAAUUUUCUUAAGUUUUACACAUUUGGAAAGGUUUGUUUUUUUUUUUUUUUUUCUUUCCAGCAGAAAGCAAUACUUAAUGCUGUCUUUAUCAAGUAGCCUGAGGUCCUUUUGGUGUGGGCAGCUCUUGCUGGCUGGGCAUAUGAGCAAGCACAGCUGGAGCACACAAUGUGGUGAUAACAUCUGGAGUUUGUAAAGAGGGUGUCUUGGUAAGGAGGUUUCCAGUUCUACCACGAGGUAAAUUGCCCUCCAUAGCCUUGGGGUUUUGGAGAAAAAAUAUUCCUGUUAGGAUGUCACCUCCCCUCCUCAGCUGUCAGAAGCAGAGCUUCUGGCACAGUAAAGAACUGCAUGUUUAUCUUCCCUGGUUGUUAUCAAAAUAGUUGUGGUAUGACCCAGAAAUUGAACAUGAAACAACAGGUCUGCUUGCAAAAACUAGUGCAAAGUGAGUUAACUGGUAUUCUUUUCUAUAUAUUAGAUUCAAUUUUGUCCUUCACAGCCUGGAGCCACUAUAGACUGUAAAAGUUCAGCAUCAGGGAGAUGUACAUGAAGAUCUGUUUUAAAAGUCUUACUCUUCUCCAUUAAGUUGGUAAAGAUAUUGGGGCCUUUGUAAUUGCUCUCAUCUGGUAUUCCCUCUUACAAGUUACGAAGUAUUUUUAAUUAUGGUGGUAACAUUUUAAUAAGGCUAUCAGUGCCCCGGGGCCAAUGCUAUAACCCAGUUAUUUGACAUGUUAGGUUGACGAGCACCUGUUACAAAGUGCAACCUUGUUAAUGGAAGAUUCAUACUAAUGAGGGGGAACCCUGGGCGUCUACAGGGCUACUGCAGCAGCUCUCAUUUGACCCUUCACUUCCAUUUCCAAGAAUGAGGGCACAAGCAGAGGAAAGAGAUGGCUGUCAAUAAAAUAAUUGUGCUCCUUAUC
Long non-coding RNA from Columba livia (rock pigeon), 6319 nucleotides. RefSeq lists it as uncharacterized. The record is from RefSeq and is a predicted model, not a curated record. The transcript is spliced from 4 exons. Lineage: Eukaryota; Metazoa; Chordata; Aves; Columbiformes; Columbidae.